Molecule: ribosomal RNA, 253 nt
Filed under: uncultured bacterium
Lineage: Bacteria
Description: partial 16S ribosomal RNA
Rfam family: Bacterial small subunit ribosomal RNA
Source: RNAcentral
UACGUAGGGGGCAAGCGUUGUCCGGAAUCAUUGGGCGUAAAGCGCGCGUAGGCGGCUCGAUCAGUCUGCUGUGAAAGUCAAAGGCUCAACCUUUGAAUGCCGGUGGAUACUGUCGAGCUAGAGUCCGGAAGAGGCGAGUGGAAUUCCUGGUGUAGCGGUGGAAUGCGCAGAUAUCAGGAGGAACACCGAUGGCGAAGGCAGGUCUCUGGGCAUUAACUGACGCUGAGGAGCGAAAGCAUGGGGAGCGAACAGG